Molecule: ribosomal RNA, 501 nt
Filed under: uncultured bacterium
Lineage: Bacteria
Description: partial 16S ribosomal RNA
Rfam family: Bacterial small subunit ribosomal RNA
Source: RNAcentral
AUUGAACGCUGGCGGCAGGCUUAACACAUGCAAGUCGAGCGGAGAUGAGGUGCUUGCACCUUAUCUUAGCGGCGGACGGGUGAGUAAUGCUUAGGAAUCUGCCUAUUAGUGGGGGACAACAUUCCGAAAGGAAUGCUAAUACCGCAUACGUCCUACGGGAGAAAGCAGGGGAUCUUCGGACCUGGCGCUAAUAGAUGAGCCUAAGUCGGAUUAGCUAGUUGGUGGGGUAAAGGCCUACCAAGGCGACGAUCUGUAGCGGGUCUGAGAGGAUGAUCCGCCACACUGGGACUGAGACACGGCCCAGAUUCCUACGGGAGGCAGCAGUGGGGAAUAUUGGACAAUGGGGGAAACCCUGAUCCAGCCAUGCCGCGUGUGUGAAGAAGGCCUUAUGGUUGUAAAGCACUUUAAGCGAGGAGGAGGCUACUGAGACUAAUACUCUUGGAUAGUGGACGUUACUCGCAGAAUAAGCACCGGCUAACUCUGUGCCAGCCGCCGCCGUAA